This 253-nucleotide ribosomal RNA is filed under the name uncultured bacterium. RNAcentral's name for it is "partial 16S ribosomal RNA". It matches the Rfam family "Bacterial small subunit ribosomal RNA", at positions 524 to 776 of the family's 1533-position model. The record is from RNAcentral.
UACAGAGGUCUCAAGCGUUAUUCGGAAUUAUUGGGCGUAAAGGGCGCGUAGGCGGCCUUGCAAGUGGCGGGUGAAAUCCCUCGGCUUAACCGAGGAACUGCCUGCCAGACUGCAAGGCUCGAGACCGGGAGAGGUGAGUGGAAUUCCCAGUGUAGCGGUGAAAUGCGUAGAUAUUGGGAGGAACACCAGUGGCGAAGGCGACUACCUGGCCCAUUCUUGACGCUGAGGCGCGAAAGCUAGGGGAGCGAACGGG